CAGCAGCCGCGGUAAUACGGAGGGUGCAAGCGUUAAUCGGAAUUACUGGGCGUAAAGCGCACGCAGGCGGUCUGUCAAGUCAGAUGUGAAAUCCCCGGGCUUAACCUGGGAACUGCAUUUGAAACUGGCAGGCUAGAGUCUUGUAGAGGGGGGUAGAAUUCCAGGUGUAGCGGUGAAAUGCGUAGAGAUCUGGAGGAAUACCGGUGGCGAAGGCGGCCCCCUGGACAAAGACUGACGCUCAGGUGCGAAAGCGUGGGGAGCAAACAGGAUUAGAUACCCGAGUAGUCCCUGUCUCUUUACA
RNAcentral lists this ribosomal RNA (301 nucleotides) under uncultured bacterium. RNAcentral's name for it is "partial 16S ribosomal RNA". It matches the Rfam family "Bacterial small subunit ribosomal RNA", at positions 509 to 808 of the family's 1533-position model. The record is from RNAcentral.